UACGUAGGGUGCGAGCGUUGUCCGGAAUUAUUGGGCGUAAAGGGCUCGUAGGCGGUUUGUCGCGUCGGGAGUGAAAUCCACUGGCUUAACUGGUGGCUUGCUUUCGAUACGGGCAGACUGGAGGUAUGCAGGGGAGAACGGAAUUCCUGGUGUAGCGGUGAAAUGCGCAGAUAUCAGGAGGAACACCGGUGGCGAAGGCGGUCUCUGGGCAUGUCCUGACGCUGAGGAGCGAAAGUGUGGGAGGCGAACAGG
RNAcentral lists this ribosomal RNA (252 nucleotides) under uncultured bacterium. Its description in RNAcentral is "partial 16S ribosomal RNA". It matches the Rfam family "Bacterial small subunit ribosomal RNA", at positions 524 to 776 of the family's 1533-position model. The record is from RNAcentral.